RNAcentral lists this ribosomal RNA (500 nucleotides) under uncultured bacterium. Its description in RNAcentral is "bacterial SSU rRNA". It matches the Rfam family "Bacterial small subunit ribosomal RNA", at positions 28 to 486 of the family's 1533-position model. The record is from RNAcentral.
GACGAACGCUGGCGGCGUGCCUAAUACAUGCAAGUCGAACGCACUCUCGUUUAGAUUGAAGGAGCUUGCUCCUGAUUGAUAAACAUUUGAGUGAGUGGCGGACGGGUGAGUAACACGUGGGUAACCUGCCCUAAAGUGGGGGAUAACAUUUGGAAACAGAUGCUAAUACCGCAUAAAACCUAAACACCGCAUGGUGUAGGGUUGAAAGAUGGUUUCGGCUAUCACUUUAGGAUGGACCCGCGGUGCAUUAGUUAGUUGGUGAGGUAAAGGCUCACCAAGACCGUGAUGCAUAGCCGACCUGAGAGGGUAAUCGGCCACACUGGGACUGAGACACGGCCCAGACUCCUACGGGAGGCAGCAGUAGGGAAUCUUCCACAAUGGACGAAAGUCUGAUGGAGCAACGCCGCGUGAGUGAAGAAGGUUUUCGGAUCGUAAAACUCUGUUGUUGGAGAAGAAUGUAUCUGAUAGUAACUGAUCAGGUAGUGACGGUAUCCAACCAG